AACUCCUAGGCUGAAACCCGGCGCUUCCUGGAAAGUUCCCUCCGCGCGGCGCCUUCCCCCGGCCGGAGGUCUGUCGUGUUUCGGGGCCGAGCCUUGCUGGUUUUCUGUCUCUGAGCUUUGCUCGCAGCAGUGACUUGAGCUGCCGGCAUCGGGCGGCCCCUCCAGCGCCGCGACUGCAGUCCGCCGGGCAUUUACGCAGCCGUGUCCCGUGCAGCGACUUCAGCACCCCGGUGGCUGCUUAGGUUAGCGCCGCCUGGUCCCCGCUUCAAGUUUACAGAUAAGAUGCAGGAUGAAGAGACAAGAACGACUUUAUCCCAGGAAAACAACAACUUGGAAAAAGUUGGAAAAAGAGUUCCUUGGUUGGUUUCCAUGGCUGGGGCUGUUUGGAAUGACCUCCCUCGGGUGCUGGCUCGCCCUCCAGCUACCGUCAGAUUUACAGUUUCACAGAAAUAGUUCCUGUGUUCCAAGUACUGUCCAGAACUGGAAGACAAGUUUUGAAACUCACCUUGUGAGACAGAGACUAAGAGAUAUCUUCCAAGAAAUGAGAUUGGCCAUUAGCAGAAAUGCCAUGACUUGCUAAUGUGUGACUGAUCAGAUUGGACUGUUUACCAAAUCUCAACCCAUGACAAG
Molecule: long non-coding RNA, 630 nt
Filed under: Neogale vison (American mink)
Lineage: Eukaryota; Metazoa; Chordata; Mammalia; Carnivora; Mustelidae
Description: Neovison vison (American mink) lncRNA (ENSNVIG00000023482.1)
Source: RNAcentral